Long non-coding RNA from Stylophora pistillata, 867 nucleotides. The record is from RefSeq and is a predicted model, not a curated record. NCBI's taxonomy places the organism in Eukaryota, Metazoa, Cnidaria, Anthozoa, Scleractinia, Pocilloporidae.
AAGGUGUUGUUUCAGCUCUCCAGGCUACGACUUUGGUUGCAUGAUGACCAGAGAAAUUUUAGCCACUAAAUUUGCAGUGUAUAAGUUGUCAAUUUGGCAAAUUGUGGUCAGCAGUCAUGGAACAAGCUGAAUUAAGGUUUAUGAUAAUCACUACAUUUUUAUGGUCUGAAAUAAGCUUACGUAAAAUAUUACUCAAUGACAUGAGCUCCAUUUUCUUCUGAUGAAAUUUGCCUCUUUCACAUUGGUUUCUCAAAAUUAUAUUAAAAUCCUUGAGAUGUUGGGUGAAUCGAUCUCCAGAUCAAAUGCUAGGCAUAAUACCCAGGACAAGUGACAAGUUUUGUAGGUCAUGCACCAUUACAAAUAUCAAUUGUGCUUUUUUCUGGAAAGCAACAUGAGCUUUUUUGGGUACCUCUUUACAAUCAUGGUCCCUAAAUUGGCAACUUUGAAAAAAAGGGUGGCAGCUUGGAGCUAUGUGGUUUAAGUAAAAAGGAUAUGGAAGAAGCUACAUUUUUAGCUUGGUUGUUGCAAUUGCUUAUUAGAUCCCAAGUGUGAGGGGGCAUCCAAUCAUACUACCAGUGCUACAAUUUCUACCAAGGUUACCACUACUGCAAUUACACCAAAUCCAGAUGCAAUAGGGACAGGAGCACCCAGGUCAUCAUCUUUCUGGAGUGAUUGGCAUUUAAAACAUAUAAUAGCAAUUCUUGUCUCUUUCGUUGUUGGUUGUCUUGGUUUUCCAUUGGUAUACUGCUUGUGCCCUUUCAAGUCCUGCUAUCGGAAAAGGAAGGAAUUACCAAUUGAAGCACACAUGCUUGAUGACGAGGAGGGUGAUCGAAACAUUGCAAGUCAGACCUAAAUCAAAUGAAUGAU